GGCGACAUAGCCAAGUGGUAAGGCAGAGGUCUGCAAAACCUCUAUUCCCCAGUUCGAAUCUGGGUGUCGCCUCCA
This 75-nucleotide transfer RNA is filed under the name Sporomusa termitida. RNAcentral's name for it is "tRNA-Cys". It matches the Rfam family "tRNA". From Rfam's summary of the family: Transfer RNA (tRNA) molecules are approximately 80 nucleotides in length. Their secondary structure includes four short double-helical elements and three loops (D, anti-codon, and T loops). The record is from RNAcentral. RNAcentral also lists the same sequence under 1 other name. Lineage: Bacteria; Bacillati; Bacillota; Negativicutes; Selenomonadales; Sporomusaceae.